This 301-nucleotide ribosomal RNA is filed under the name uncultured bacterium. RNAcentral describes it as "partial 16S ribosomal RNA". It matches the Rfam family "Bacterial small subunit ribosomal RNA", at positions 509 to 807 of the family's 1533-position model. The record is from RNAcentral.
CAGUCGCCGCGGUAAUACAGAGGGUGCGAGCGUUAAUCGGAUUUACUGGGCGUAAAGCGUGCGUAGGCGGCUUCUUAAGUCGGAUGUGAAAUCCCUGAGCUUAACUUAGGAAUUGCAUUCGAUACUGGGAAGCUAGAGUAUGGGAGAGGAGGGUAGAAUUCCAGGUGUAGCGGUGAAAUGCGUAGAGAUCUGGAGGAAUACCGAUGGCGAAGGCAGCCAUCUGGCCUAAUACUGACGCUGAGGUACGAAAGCAUGGGGAGCAAACAGGAUUAGAGACCCCGGUAGUCCCUGUCUCUUAUAC